RNAcentral lists this ribosomal RNA (409 nucleotides) under uncultured archaeon. Its description in RNAcentral is "bacterial SSU rRNA". It matches the Rfam family "Archaeal small subunit ribosomal RNA", at positions 452 to 861 of the family's 1478-position model. The record is from RNAcentral.
CUGGUGUCAGCCGCCGCGGUAAUACCAGCUCUCCGAGUGGUGUGGACGAUUAUUGGGCUUAAAGCGUUCGUAGCCGGCUUAACAAGUCUUCCGUUAAAUCCAACGAUUUAAUCGUUGGUCUGCGGGAGAUACUGUUGGGCUAGGAGGCGGGAGAAGCCGACGGUAUUCUCGGGGUAGGGGUGAAAUCCUGUAAUCCCGGGAGGACCACCAGUGGCGAAGGCGGUCGGCUAGAACGCGCUCGACGGUGAGGGACGAAAGCUGGGGUAGCGAACCGGAUUAGAGACCCGGAUAGUCCCAGCUGUAAACGAUGCGGGCUAGGUGUUGGGGUGGCUACGGGCCACUUCAGUGCCGCAUGGAAGCGAUUACGCCCGCCGCCUGGGGAGUACGGCCGCAAGGCUGAAACUUAAAG